AUGCAGGGCUGUGUUUGUAAUGUA
RNAcentral lists this non-coding RNA (24 nucleotides) under Cricetulus griseus (Chinese hamster). Lineage: Eukaryota; Metazoa; Chordata; Mammalia; Rodentia; Cricetidae. The record is from RNAcentral.